UGGUAGGUAGGUUUGGUGGGUGUGGUGAUGGUACAUGAGGUAGCUGUGGUUAUGGUAGGUGUGAUAGGUGUGGUGAUGGAUGGUUUGGUGAAGGUAGGUAUGGUAGGUGUGUUAGGUUUUGUGAUGUAGGUGUGAGAGAAGUGGUGAUGGUAGGUAAGUUUGGUAGGUUUGGUGAUGAUAGAUAGGGUAGGUAUGGUGAUUAUAGGUGUGGUAGUUUGGGUAGGUUUGUUAGGUGUGGUAAGUGUGAUGAUAGUAGAUGUGAUGUUGUGGUGUUGGUGGAUUGUAGGUGUGUUGAUGGUAGGUAGGGUAGUUGUGGUGGGUAGGUUUGGUAGGUGUGGUGAUGGUAGGUUUUGUAGUUGUGGUGAUGGUAGGUGUGUUCGUUUUAGUAGGUUGGUGUGGUGGUUGUGGUACAUAGGGGUGGUAGUUGUGGUAGUUGUGGUGAUUAGGGUUGGGCGGUAUCCAGAUGUUCAUAUUGUCAUACCAUCCUUCUCUCAUACCGGGAUUAACAGUAUUACUGGCAUAGCACAUGAGUGGGUGCUAAAAACACAAGAAAAACCUAUUGCCCUCUAUUUCCAGAAUGCUAACAAAUUAGCACAAACUGAUAGCAAAUUCACAUAGACGCUGUUAGCUAAAUGCUAACAACGGAAAACAAACUAGCUAAUUGCAAAGCAGUGGAGGCUGCUGAGGGGAAGACAACUCAUAAUCAUGUCUGGAAUGAAGUCAAUGGAGUGAUAUCAACCACAUCAAAGAUUCCAGACAUUAUUAUGAGCUUCCACUGUUGCAAAGAAAGGCAAAUCCAGCUCAUAAAGUGAUGUAAGGGAUAAUCAACGAGGGACUAUGAGUUCUAUGGUAAAUAAUGAACACUGUGGAACUGACCUUCCAUGGACUUGCAUUAUUUUCCAGAGAACCAUAAAGCCCUGAGUUGAUUAUCCCUUUUAUACCAUGGCUAUAAUUUAACACAUUUGCCGGUAGAAAUGUGUUCAAGUAGCUAGCAAGUUUACUAGAUAGCUACAGUAGUUGCCUUGGUAACCAAACAAACAUACUUGCUAGUUUAGAUAACCAAACCAUCAGUCCUAGCUUGCUAUUAUGAAAACCUAAUUCAACAACACCAAUAAUGUUUUCAAUUUGACUUCAUUUGUAAUGUCCAAAAGUCCAAACGUAAUUACCAUGGAUUGGAGGAAGAGGUCUGUGAACCAAUAUCUGAAGUUUUAGGGAAGCAUUUUUCAGGCAAUUGUAUGCGAUGCAGUUUUAAGACGGUUCCUUAACCCUCUGAACAGAGGAUGGCACAUUUUUAGCUACAUUUCACCUCCAAAAGUGAAUGACACCGAAUGGAACAGUAGGUUAACUGCCUUAUCCAGUUGUCUUGAAAGAACCAUAAAUCCAGAGAAUGACAGACUUUGAUGCCAAACCGCCGCUACACCUUCCUGUUCAAGUGAGCACAACACAACAAGCUCUAGGCAGACAGCACGUCAGGAAUGCUGUAAGACAUCACAGAGACAGAUGCUUGGCUUUUUCUUUGUCUUUGUGUUGGAGAUUGGCUCUGAUGUUUCAGCCUCUUCUGGAGCUUCUAGCUGCUGGCUGUCUG
This is a long non-coding RNA of Oncorhynchus nerka (sockeye salmon), 1585 nucleotides long. RefSeq lists it as uncharacterized. NCBI's taxonomy places the organism in Eukaryota, Metazoa, Chordata, Actinopteri, Salmoniformes, Salmonidae. The transcript has 6 exons. The record is from RefSeq and is a predicted model, not a curated record.